UUGGUGGUGAAUUCUUAGUGCUA
RNAcentral lists this non-coding RNA (23 nucleotides) under Arabidopsis thaliana (thale cress). Lineage: Eukaryota; Viridiplantae; Streptophyta; Magnoliopsida; Brassicales; Brassicaceae. The record is from RNAcentral.